AUGCACCUUAUGACUGGGAGCUUCUUGAAUCUGGAGGGCAUCACCCCUGUUGAUGAUUCCAGAUAUAAUGCAGAGGAAAGCGACACACGUGCUGAUGUGGUGCCUGAGAUUGCUGAUGUUUGCUCCAAUGCUCCUGAACGAGAUGAUCCACCUGCAGGCCUUAUUAUCAGCAGGUCUUCUGGACCGGGUGCACUUUUGCAUCUUGGAAGGAAAAGAUCAUCAUGUACCUCAGUUGAACAUACAUGUUCUAGGCGCCUUAGUAGCAACAGUCAGAUGCCAGAUUUCACAGUUGUCCAAGGCAACAACCUCUCACUCCUUGGUCAAAUUGAUGCAGAUAUAGUGGAAGCGGAAUCUGAGUUUACUGAGGCUGAAGUGAGGAAAAGAUACCUGAAGCAUGUCGAGCCUCAGUUGUUGUCCAGAGGCCUCGUUCUCCCCGGGAAGCUGAGUCACAGUACAACAGCCUUUGUGCACCGCAGAACCCAAGAAAUUACUGGCCACAGGCCAAAAUACAUGAGCAUUCUCGAUGUUAUGGGACAUGAGAAAAGAAUGAAGGAGGAUGAAUGGCAUUUCUUCCUGAAGGAUAUGAUCAAGACAAGAGUGUACGUGGUUGAGAAUUGGAGCUCUUCCCUUUGCCGUGUCGUGUCUCUGACGUAUGAUUAUGGCAUCGUUAGUCCCGAUGAGGGUCCAGAUGUGGAAUUCUUCAAGGCGGAAUGUGACGCAGCCUACUGUGAGAAGAAGCAGCAGGCUGAGUUGUCAUUUUUUAUCUUUAAAGGAAAGCAGAUAAUUCAUUGUCAGGUUCAUCAUGAGGUGCCCUGCAGGUCUUCUGUGGUGGCAGAAUGCUAUGCGGCUGCUGCUUGUCUUAUAAAAGCCAAGGAACUUGGAAUAGAGAACCUCGUCAUAUACAUGGACUGCAAAGAUUCCCAUGGCGUUUUAAGUGGUGAGCGGAAUAUUAGACCUGAUGAUGUAAACAUGGGAGUUUUUCUGAUGUUGAAAAAACAUCAAAACGCCCUUGAAAGGGUGGUGCCUGUGUGGAAGGAGCGUGAGCUUAACCAACUCGCGGAUGAUCUUGUAACACUCGACCCGAGAACCACCCUUGAUCCUAUGUUCCCACAGCAAGCGAUGGAGAGAUGGAAGCAUCCCCUGGAGGGUUAUCCAGUGUUCAGAUAUAAGCAAAAAAACGAAGUUGAAACCAUCACCAGAGGAUUUGUCUUCUCAACCAAGAAAACAGUACAAGCACAUAAAAUCCUACAAGAACGGAGCAUUGCAUUGACCAUAUUGUGUAAUUAUUAUAACCAAUAUCUCCAAGAAGCAAAAUAUUUCCUACUUACUCAUUGGGGUUAUAAAAUUUAUAUUGUUGGUAAAUUUGAUUGUUUGGCUGGCUUGCUCGAUGGGUUUGAUCCGGACGACCUGUAUGUGUCUGCCAUGAGUUUGCCAAAAAGCCCAAAGACCUCCAGUUGA
Molecule: ribosomal RNA, 1458 nt
Filed under: Triticum aestivum (bread wheat)
Lineage: Eukaryota; Viridiplantae; Streptophyta; Magnoliopsida; Poales; Poaceae
Description: partial small subunit ribosomal RNA
Source: RNAcentral